GACGAACGCUGGCGGCGUGCUUAACACAUGCAAGUCGAACGAAGUGGCGAACGGGUGAGUAACGCGGAAUCAACCUGCCCUUCAGUGGGGGGCCACAGAGGGAAAAGAAUGCGAAUAGCGCAUACUGAAGGAGGGGAAUGCGUCUGAAUAGGUAGUUGCAGGGGAAACGGCCCACCAAGGCGAUGCUCAGUAGCCGGUCUGAGAGGAUGAACGGCCAGAUUUGGACUGAGACACGGCCCAGGCUCCUUCGGGAGGCAGCAGUGGGGAAUCUUCCGCAAUGGAGGAAAGUCUGACGGAGCAACGCCGCGUGAGUGAUGACGGCCUUCGGGUUGUAAAGCUCUGUUAAUCGGGACGCGGUACCGGAAUAGAAAGCCACGGCUAACUACGUGCCAGCAGCCGCGGUAAUUC
This 408-nucleotide ribosomal RNA is filed under the name uncultured bacterium. RNAcentral's name for it is "partial 16S ribosomal RNA". It matches the Rfam family "Bacterial small subunit ribosomal RNA", at positions 28 to 526 of the family's 1533-position model. The record is from RNAcentral.